CUCUGAGCACAGCACUAUCCGCAGCGCUUUGAGGGGAGCGCAGCUCGGAGCGGCCCUUCGGCGACUGGUUUCUACCCUAGGUAUGGACCUCUUUGCUCAUGUAAUGGGAUGAAGUAAGGAAGAGAUGUGGAAAGCCAAGCAAGCUUGCACCCUGCACUUAUGUCUGUAUAGGAAGAGAUGGAAUAUUUUAUUUGCCUUUUAUAUGUACAUACAUAUGUGUUGUGUGUUUGGGUUACUUUCCUUGGGCGUGUUUCCUGGGAAGCACUGGAGAGGAUGAGCUCCCAGAAGCUGAGAGGUGCUAGGCUCCCAGAGAACUCAGCCAAGGUUGUUGCAGCCAGUCCUGAACUUGGGGUGACGUCCCUACGGGGAUCACAGUGAUGAGCCCAGCUGUAACCGGCCUUUGGAACAGCCGGGACAUAUGCCCUUGAGAGCAGAAACCCAGGAAUCUGCAGAGCAGUUUUCAAAGCCACAGCCUUUCCAGGCCUUAAAACUACAAAUUAU
RNAcentral lists this long non-coding RNA (501 nucleotides) under Meriones unguiculatus (Mongolian gerbil). RNAcentral describes it as "lncRNA (ENSMUGG00000009917.1)". The record is from RNAcentral. Lineage: Eukaryota; Metazoa; Chordata; Mammalia; Rodentia; Muridae.